AGCCGAUAGAGCCUAAAUAUUAUCGGUAUUUUCUGCCCGGUGUUUUUUAAUUAACGGCCGCAGUACCUUGACUGUGCUAAGGUAGCAUAAUCAAUUGGCUAUUAAUUGUAGUCUAGUAUGAAAGGAUAAAUGAAUACUACCUAUAACAUUUAGUUUUAGUUGAAUUUACUUAUCUGGUGAAAAUGCCAGUGAUAAGAAAAAAGACGAGAAGACCCUUAGAGUUAUUAAAUAUAUCUGUUAUUAUAUAAUAUUAAAACAGCUAUUUGUUUGUUGGGGCGACAAGAAAACAAGUUUAACUUUUCUACUUAAUUAAUUUUAUGUGCCGAAAAAUAUUAAGGAUAAUAAACUACCUUAGGGAUAACAGCAUAAUGAUAUAAUUUAGUUUGUGACCUCGAUGUUGGACUAGGAACUUGAACACUAACAGUGCUUAAAGAUUGUUCUGUUCGAACAUAUAACUCCU
Molecule: ribosomal RNA, 460 nt
Filed under: Physidae sp. MSB 23687
Lineage: Eukaryota; Metazoa; Mollusca; Gastropoda; Physidae
Also listed under: 1 other name
Description: partial large subunit ribosomal RNA
Rfam family: Bacterial large subunit ribosomal RNA
Source: RNAcentral